This 678-nucleotide small RNA is filed under the name Pongo abelii (Sumatran orangutan). RNAcentral describes it as "retained intron". The record is from RNAcentral. Lineage: Eukaryota; Metazoa; Chordata; Mammalia; Primates; Hominidae.
CACCACUUGUACUUUGGCAUGUCGACAUUUGCACAUAAAAGAAAAAGGCAAGCCACUUAUGCUGAACCCAAGAACAAACAAGGGAAUGGCAUUUACUUUACAAGAACGACAAAUGCUUGGUCUUCAAGGACUUCUACCUCCCAAAAUAGAGACACAAGAUAUUCAAGCCUUACGAUUUCAUAGAAACUUGAAGAAAAUGACUAGCCCUUUGGAAAAAUAUAUCUACAUAAUGGGAAUACAAGAAAGAAAUGAGAAAUUGUUUUAUAGAAUACUGCAAGAUGACAUUGAGAGUUUAAUGCCAAUUGUGUAUACACCGACGGUUGGUCUUGCCUGCUCCCAGUAUGGACACAUCUUUAGAAGACCUAAGUAAGGCUUAUUUUAAAAAAAAAACUUGUAAAUGAUUACUGAAUAAGGAAAAUAUCAUUCCAUAACACCCAUUACAUUUCUAUUUUAUGUAUCUUAGCCAAAUCACAUUUCCCACCUGAGAAAAACGUAAUUUUGAUUAAAAGAUUAACAAAAUCCCAACAAAUUCAUAACUUUUAUCUUUGUAAAAAUAGCAUAAUUCAUUUCUAAUCUUCUUUAAAUUAUUGUGAUUGUUAGAGGAAUUACAUACUUUUGGAACCUGCCCCCCCACCAAAAAAAGUCUUAAUUCUGGUGGGAGAUUCUCCAGAAUUAUCA